This 489-nucleotide ribosomal RNA is filed under the name uncultured Actinomycetes bacterium. Its description in RNAcentral is "uncultured actinobacterium partial 16S ribosomal RNA". The record is from RNAcentral. Lineage: Bacteria; Bacillati; Actinomycetota; Actinomycetes.
CACGUAGUUGGCCGCACCUUCUUCUGCAGGUACCGUCAUUUUCGUUCCUACUGAAAGCGGUUUACAACCCUAAGGCCUUCUUCCCGCACGCGGCGUUGCUGCGUCAGGCUUUCGCCCAUUGCGCAAGAUUCCCCACUGCUGCCUCCCGUAGGAGUCUGGGCCGUGUCUCAGUCCCAGUGUGGCUGAUCAUCCUCUCAGACCAGCUACCCGUCGAUGCCUUGGUAGGCCGUUACCCCACCAACAAGCUGAUAGGCCGCGAGGCCCUCCCGAACCGAAAAAUCUUUCGUCAGCGCACCAUGUGAUGCUCCGACGGCAUCAGGUAUUAGCAGAUGUUUCCGUCUGUUAUCCCUGAGUCCGGGGUAGGUUCCUCACGUGUUACUCACCCGUUCGCCACUAGGUUUUCGAGGUUAUUGCUAACCCUUGAACCUCGUUCGACUUGCAUGUGUUAAGCACGCCGCCAGCGUUCGUCCUGAGCCAGGAUCAAACUCU